This 460-nucleotide ribosomal RNA is filed under the name uncultured bacterium. Its description in RNAcentral is "partial 16S ribosomal RNA". It matches the Rfam family "Bacterial small subunit ribosomal RNA", at positions 338 to 795 of the family's 1533-position model. The record is from RNAcentral.
CCUACGGGUGGCAGCAGUGAGGAAUAUUGGUCAAUGGGCGGAAGCCUGAACCAGCCAAGUCGCGUGAGGGAUUAAGGCCCUGCGGGUCGUAAACCUCUUUUGCCGGGGAGCAAUGGUCCGCACGCGUCCGGACCGGGAGAGUACCCGGAGAAAAAGCAUCGGCUAACUCCGUGCCAGCAGCCGCGGUAAUACGGAGGAUGCGAGCGUUAUCCGGAUUUAUUGGGCUUAAAGGGAGCGUAGGCGGGCCUUCAAGUCAGCGGUCAAAUCGAGCGGCUCAACCGCGCCCCGCCAUUGAGACUGGAGGUAUUGAGUGGAAGAGAGGCAGGCGGAAUGCGUGGUGUAGCGGUGAAAUGCAUAGAUAUCACGAAGAACCCCGAUUGCGAAGGCAGCAUGCCGGGGUCCGACUGACGCUGAGGCACGAAGGUGCGGGGAUCGAACAGGAUUAGAUACCCGAGUAGUC